Molecule: non-coding RNA, 29 nt
Filed under: Rattus norvegicus (Norway rat)
Lineage: Eukaryota; Metazoa; Chordata; Mammalia; Rodentia; Muridae
Source: RNAcentral
UUCCAAAGACUCCAAGCAAACCAGUGUGA